RNAcentral lists this transfer RNA (74 nucleotides) under Hansschlegelia zhihuaiae. Its description in RNAcentral is "metsulfuron-methyl degrading bacterium S113 tRNA". It matches the Rfam family "tRNA". Rfam says of the family: Transfer RNA (tRNA) molecules are approximately 80 nucleotides in length. Their secondary structure includes four short double-helical elements and three loops (D, anti-codon, and T loops). The record is from Rfam by way of RNAcentral. Lineage: Bacteria; Pseudomonadati; Pseudomonadota; Alphaproteobacteria; Hyphomicrobiales; Methylopilaceae.
GCGCGCCUAGCUCAGUUGGAUAGAGCAGCGGCUUGCUAAGCCGAAGGCCGGGGGUUCGAGUCCCCCGGCGCGGC